Molecule: ribosomal RNA, 252 nt
Filed under: uncultured bacterium
Lineage: Bacteria
Description: partial 16S ribosomal RNA
Rfam family: Bacterial small subunit ribosomal RNA
Source: RNAcentral
UACGGAGGAUGCGAGCGUUAUCCGGAUUUAUUGGGUUUAAAGGGUGCGCAGGCGGCACGGCAAGCCGGCGGUCAAAUCGCGGGGCUCAACCCCGCCCAGCCGUCGGAACUGCCGGGCUAGAGUGGGCGAGAAGUGCGCGGAAUGCGUGGUGUAGCGGUGAAAUGCAUAGAAAUCACGCAGAACUCCGAUUGCGAAGGCAGCGCACCGGCGCCCUACUGACGCUCAGGCACGAAAGCGUGGGUAUCGAACAGG